RNAcentral lists this ribosomal RNA (253 nucleotides) under uncultured bacterium. RNAcentral describes it as "partial 16S ribosomal RNA". It matches the Rfam family "Bacterial small subunit ribosomal RNA", at positions 524 to 776 of the family's 1533-position model. The record is from RNAcentral.
UACGGAGGGUGCAAGCGUUAUCCGGAUUCACUGGGUUUAAAGGGUGCGUAGGCGGACAGGUAAGUCAGUGGUGAAAUCUCCGAGCUUAACUCGGAAACUGCCGUUGAUACUAUCUGUCUUGAAUAUUGUGGAGGUGAGCGGAAUAUGUCAUGUAGCGGUGAAAUGCUUAGAUAUGACAUAGAACACCAAUUGCGAAGGCAGCUCGCUACACGAAUAUUGACUCUGAGGCACGAAAGCGUGGGGAUCAAACAGG